Molecule: non-coding RNA, 31 nt
Filed under: Homo sapiens (human)
Lineage: Eukaryota; Metazoa; Chordata; Mammalia; Primates; Hominidae
Source: RNAcentral
UGAGGGGCUUACUUUGCCCGUGGAAGCCAGU